UAGUCAACCUAUGGCACGGGUGCCAAAGGCAGCACGUGAGCUGAUUUUCAGUGGCACUCACAUUGCCCCGGUUCUGGCUACCAGUCUGGGAAGGCUCUGUGGGG
This is a long non-coding RNA of Gopherus evgoodei (Goodes thornscrub tortoise), 104 nucleotides long. RefSeq lists it as uncharacterized. The record is from RefSeq and is a predicted model, not a curated record. Lineage: Eukaryota; Metazoa; Chordata; Testudines; Testudinidae. The transcript has 3 exons.